CCUACGGGAGGCAGCAGUGAGGAAUAUUGGUCAAUGGACGAGAGUCUGAACAAGCAAAGUAGCGUGAAGGAUGAAUGCCCUAUGGGUUGAAAACUUCUUUUAUAUGGGAAUAAAACGUUCAAAGUGUGGGUUUUUGUAUGUACCAUAUGAAUAAGGAUCGGCUAACCCCGUGCCAGCAGCCGCGGUAAUACGGAGGAUCCGAGCGUUAUCCGGAUUGAUUGGGUUUAAAGGGAGCGUAGGUGGAUUUUUAAGUCAGUUGUGAAAGUUAGCGGCUCAACCGUAAAAUUGCAGUUGAAACUGGCUGUCUUGAGUACAGUAGAGGUGGGCGGAAUUCGUGGUGUAGCGGUGACAUGCUUAGAUAUCACGAAGAACUCCGAUUGCGAAGGCAGUUCACUGGUCUGCAACUGACACUGAGGCUCGAAAGUGUGGGUAUCAAACAGGAUUAGAUACCCUAGUAGUC
RNAcentral lists this ribosomal RNA (460 nucleotides) under uncultured bacterium. RNAcentral describes it as "partial 16S ribosomal RNA". It matches the Rfam family "Bacterial small subunit ribosomal RNA", at positions 338 to 795 of the family's 1533-position model. The record is from RNAcentral.